GUUUGAGUUGAAAAACUGAGAUUUUUCCACAAACCCACAUAGAAAAAACAAGGAAAACCCUGUUUUUACUCAGCCUUGCGUGCGCCCUGCGCAUGUGGUCAUGUGCAUCGUGGCACGUGGCUUCAACUCCUAUGCGAUUUUGCCUUUUUCUUCGUUCUUUUGAGUGCUUUCUUCCUCCAAAUUAGUAUUCGGACUUGGGACAGAUUUCCAAAAACUUGUAAUAUCUUCAUAGGCUUAUUGAAUCUUUAUUCCAUUUAUUCCACUUCUUCGUGAGGUGUCAUGCUUUGCCGAAUUAUAUGAUGUUUCAAUAGAAUACUUAUAAAAUACCUAUGAAUUUUUCGAUUUAUGAAAAAACUAUAAUUACAUGACUUUAUAUGAAAAUAUUACGAAAUGUCCCUUAAACCAUGCAUGAACAAUUUCUCUAAAACUUUACUUUAGAAUCUUUUCCAAUAUGUUUUCUUCAUUUUUAAUGGACGAGACUUUUAGUCUCUUUCACAAGUUACAACACUAUUCAUUGACUAGAAUGAUGGUGCGGGAAAAUAUCUCUUACCUUAGGCGCUUAUCUUCUCAAUCCCAAGAAAAUGGUACUACAUAUUGAUUUUUGAACGAGGCACGAUCAAACUUUAAAAGGUAA
RNAcentral lists this long non-coding RNA (634 nucleotides) under Medicago truncatula (barrel medic). RNAcentral describes it as "long non-coding RNA (MTRU_LNC000328)". The record is from RNAcentral. Lineage: Eukaryota; Viridiplantae; Streptophyta; Magnoliopsida; Fabales; Fabaceae.